UACGUAGGGUGCAAGCGUUAAUCGGAAUUACUGGGCGUAAAGCGUGCGCAGGCGGUUAUGCAAGACAGAUGUGAAAUCCCCGGGCUCAACCUGGGAACUGCAUUUGUGACUGCAUGGCUAGAGUGCGGCAGAGGGGGAUGGAAUUCCGCGUGUAGCAGUGAAAUGCGUAGAUAUGCGGAGGAACACCGAUGGCGAAGGCAAUCCCCUGGGCCUGCACUGACGCUCGAUGCACGAAAGCGUGGGGAGCAAACAGG
This 254-nucleotide ribosomal RNA is filed under the name uncultured bacterium. RNAcentral's name for it is "partial 16S ribosomal RNA". It matches the Rfam family "Bacterial small subunit ribosomal RNA", at positions 524 to 776 of the family's 1533-position model. The record is from RNAcentral.